Molecule: long non-coding RNA, 615 nt
Organism: Bombus terrestris (buff-tailed bumblebee)
Lineage: Eukaryota; Metazoa; Arthropoda; Insecta; Hymenoptera; Apidae
Exons: 2
Source: RefSeq, a predicted model, not a curated record
UGAGCCCCUGAAAUCAACGAUUCAUUUUAUUUAUUUUCUGUAAAAAUAAAAAAGAAAAAUAUUACAAAGUGAAUAAUUGGACGGAAGAUUUUUUUCAGAAUUUUGAAGUUAUUUAUCACGAGGAAAAUUAACACUAGAGAAGAAAAUAUAUUUUUUAAAGAAAUGUACAUUUUUCGAAAUAUUAUUCGAAUAGAGGAAUUUUGUAAAAUAAAUUUAUCUGUUUUGAAGAAAAUCGAUGUAAGGAAGAUUAUUGAUCUUCGAAUAGAAAAAUUGCGUAGAUUUAAUUUGUUGUGCAUUUAAAGUAUAGCGUGUUCGUACGAGGAUUUUAAUAUACUUCGAUGUUCAUAUUUUUGAUAGAGAAUUAUUUUGUUACUGCAGAUAAUUUUUAAUUUCAGACAUUUGUAGGUAAAUAAUCAAAUCUGUCGUGUCUGUUUCGUACAGAGAUACCAUCGACAUUAUGAUCGUCAAAGAUCAUAAAGCGAGACGAUUCUUUAAAUAAAACGGCCGAAGUUGAUCAAAUGCAACUUUGCUGAUCGCACUUACGAAUCUGUCGAGCAGAUAGCUCGCUGGAAAGAUGAACGGAAUGUAAGUUAUCAUGUAGAUCAUGCUAGUCAU